Molecule: ribosomal RNA, 486 nt
Filed under: uncultured bacterium
Lineage: Bacteria
Description: partial 16S ribosomal RNA
Rfam family: Bacterial small subunit ribosomal RNA
Source: RNAcentral
AUUGAACGCUGGCGGCAUGCCUUACACAUGCCAGUCGAACGGCAGCACGGGUGCUUGCACCUGGUGGCGAGUGGCGAACGGGUGAGUAAUACAUCGGAACAUGUCCUGUAGUGGGGGAUAGCCCGGCGAAAGCCGGAUUAAUACCGCAUACGAUCUACGGAUGAAAGCGGGGGACCUUCGGGUCUCGCGCUAUAGGGUUGGCCGAUGGCUGAUUAGCUAGUUGGUGGGGUAAAGGCCUACCAAGGCGACGAUCAGUAGCUGAUCUGAGAGGACGACCAGCCACACAAGGACUGAGACACGGCCCAGACUCCUACGGGAGGCAGCAGUGGGGAAUUUUGGACAAUGGGCGGAAGCCUGAUCCAGCAAUGCCGCGUGUGUGAAGAAGGCCUUCGGGUUGUAAAGCACUUUUGUCCGGAAAGAAAUCCUUGGCUCUAAUACAGUCGGGGGAUGACGGUACCGGAAGAAUAAGCACCGGCUAACUACGUG